Molecule: long non-coding RNA, 703 nt
Organism: Salvia miltiorrhiza (redroot sage)
Lineage: Eukaryota; Viridiplantae; Streptophyta; Magnoliopsida; Lamiales; Lamiaceae
Exons: 2
Source: RefSeq, a predicted model, not a curated record
ACACUCAUAUCUCUCAAUCUCUCAUUCUCUCUCAUUCCUUGCAUAUCACCACUCUUCACUCAUUCUCUCAUUUAAUUUCCAGCAGCUAAUUAAGUGCUAGGAGCGGCGCAUCCAAGGCUCGAGGAGGACAACCGAAGCAAGCUUGAAGAGGUUUGAAUUCAAUCACUUAAGGUGGGGUUUACUUUUAUCUGUAAGCGUAGUUGUUACAUGGUUAUAAUCAUUGUUGUGUUGUGCGUCAUUCAUAUGAACUUAUGGGACCCACAAGGGGUCGGAUCCACAAGGGAUCAAAGAGCUGAACGGCCCACAAGGGGUCAGGUCCACAAGGGACCGAGACUAGUCUCACAAGAUGUCAGCUAAGUGAAAAAAAUAUAAGAGUUCAACAUGUUAUGAUUCAUUACACAAUUGGUUAUAAGUGCUUGUAGUGUUUACCCCACUGAGUGUGCUUGCACACUCAUACCCUUUUAUUUAUGAUUCUUUUCAGGUUAAGGAGUUGACGACAAGACGGCAGACAUGGAGCUCCACAUUCUCCCGUUCUAUUAUAUGAUGAAGUAUUAUAUGUUGCUGUUUUUGGUAAAUAUAUCUUGCUACUAACCAACUUAGCGUUUUCCAAUUUUGGUGGGUCGAGACUUUAUAUAUAUUGGUUUAUAAUCAUGCAUUUUGAUGACGGCUGUGACCGAAUAUAUAUAUUUUGCUUACCGUAUGU